UGGGGUAUUAGUAUAUGGGUUAUUAUAAUCGGCUGUCUACCGAUAGAAACGGUUUCGAGUACCGUAUACCUCGUUUA
This 77-nucleotide transfer RNA is filed under the name Bacillus phage vB_BanH_McCartney. Its description in RNAcentral is "tRNA-Asp". The record is from RNAcentral. Lineage: Duplodnaviria; Heunggongvirae; Uroviricota; Caudoviricetes; Herelleviridae.